UAAGGAAUAUUGGUCAAUGGACGCAAGUCUGAACCAGCCAUGCCGCGUGGAGGAUGAAGGCCCUCUGGGUUGUAAACUUCUUUUCUUUGGGACGAAACCCCUAUUUCUAUGGGGACUGACGGUACCAGAGGAAUAAGCACCGGCUAACUCCGUGCCAGCAGCCGCGGUAAUACGGAGGGUGCAAGCGUUAUCCGGAUUCACUGGGUUUAAAGGGAGCGUAGGUGGGCUUGUAAGUCAGUGGUGAAAUCUCUGGGCUUAACCCGGAAACUGCCAUUGAUACUAUAGGUCUUGAAUUCUCUGGAGGUAAGCGGAAUAUGUCAUGUAGCGGUGAAAUGCUUAGAUAUGACAUAGAACACCCAUUGCGAAGGCAGCUUACUACGGAGACAUUGACACUGAGGCUCGAAAGCGUGGGGAUCAAACA
Molecule: ribosomal RNA, 421 nt
Filed under: uncultured Lacibacter sp.
Lineage: Bacteria; Pseudomonadati; Bacteroidota; Chitinophagia; Chitinophagales; Chitinophagaceae
Description: bacterial SSU rRNA
Rfam family: Bacterial small subunit ribosomal RNA
Source: RNAcentral